AGUUCGAUUCUGGCUCAGAUUGAACGCUGGCGGGAGCGCUAACAUGCAAGUCGAACGGCAGCACGGACUUCGGUCUGGUGGCGAGUGCGAACGGGGUGAGUAAAUGUAUCGGAACGCCUAGUAGCGGGGGAUAACUACGCGAAAGCGUAGCCAGACACGCAUACGCCUCUUCGGGGGAAAGCGGGGACCUUCCUGCCUCGCACUAUUAGAGCGGCCGAUAUCGGAUUAGUUGGUUGAGAAUGCAAUGUGCCCGGCGACGGAUCUGCAGUCGUUUGAGAGGACGACCAGCCACACCGCACCGAGCGACAAUGGCCCAGACUCCUACGGGAGGCAGCAGCAGCAGGAAUUUUUGGACAAUGGGGGAAACUCCUGGAUCUGUUGUUCCCGCGUGCGAUGAAGGCCUUCGGGUUGUAAAGCACUUUUGGCAGGAUAAGAAACGGCACGGGAUAAUACCCCGCAGUAACCGACGGUACCUGCAGAAUACACCGGCCACCCAUGCGCCAGCAGCCGCGGUAAUACGUAGGUGCAAGCGUUAAUCGAAUUACUGGGCGUAAAGCGUGGCAGGCGGUUCGGAAAAGAAAGAUGUGAAAUCCACAGAGCUGGAAAACUUCUUGGAACUGCAUUUUAACUACCGAGCUAGAGUGUGUCGAGAGGUGGAGUAAAUGGAAUUCCGCGUAGCAGUGAAAUGCAGAGCACGGAGGAACACCGGAUGGUUUGGGGCUGCAGCCUCCUGGGAGUAACAAUUGACGCUCAUGCACGAAAGCGUGGGGGAGCAAACAGGAUUAGAUACCCUGGUAGUCCACGCCUCAAACGAUGUCAACUAGCUGUUGGGGCCUUCGGGCCUUGGUAGCGCAGCUAACGCGUGAAGUUGACCGCCUGGGGAGUACGGUCGCAAGAUUAAACUCAAAGGAAUUGACGUAUUCCGCACAAGCGGUGGAUGAUGGAUUCAAUCUGAUGCAACGCGAAAACCUUUACCUACCCUUGACAUGUCUGGAAUCCGCGACUUGGGAUGGCCCUGGAGAACCGGAACACAGGUGCUGCGGUUAUUGCCGUCAGCUCGUGUCGAGAUGCUGGGUUAAGUCCCGCAACGAGCGCAACCGCCUUAUUAGUUGUUACGAAAGGGCAGCACCUGAUUGUGACUGCCGGUGACAAGUUCGGAGGGGAAGGUGCCGGGAUGACGUCAAGUCCGCCCUUAUGGGUAGGGCUUCACACGCGUCAUACAAUGGUCGGGACAGAGGGUCGCCAACCCGCGAGGGAAAGCGGCUUCAAUCCCAGAAACCCGAUCGUAGUCCGGAUCGCAGUCUGCAACUCGACUGCGUGAAGUCGGAAUCCGCCAGUAAUCGCGGAUCAGCAUGUCGCGGAAUACGUUCCUCCUCGGGUCUUGUACACACCGCCCGUCACGCGACCAUGCGGGAGUGGGUUUCACCAUGACGAACAACCGUAAGAGGGCGAUUACCACGGUAGGAUUCAUGACUGGGGUGAAGUCGUAACAAGGUAA
RNAcentral lists this ribosomal RNA (1498 nucleotides) under uncultured Bordetella sp. Its description in RNAcentral is "partial 16S-23S ribosomal RNA intergenic spacer". It matches the Rfam family "Bacterial small subunit ribosomal RNA". The record is from RNAcentral. Lineage: Bacteria; Pseudomonadati; Pseudomonadota; Betaproteobacteria; Burkholderiales; Alcaligenaceae.